CUUCUUCUUCGUUUAUUCGAUCCAUCAGAAGAAUUAUAAGCACCACAGUCUCCCCCUCUUCCCUAAACCUACCACUACCAUUACUUUCAUUCCAAUCCCACCACCACCACAAAUGUAACAUCUAGUUUUCAAAUCUUCACUGUCGCCGCCCCCUCCGGAUCAAGAACAUACAGAUCUAAUGGAUUGAUUAUCUUCUUUCUUUUUCUUUUUUUAAUUUGUAUUUUCGUGAUACAAAUCGAAAUUCAAGCUACGUCGGUUCUUAAAUUGGUGAUGGACAAUAAAGGUGAUUUAGGACGUUGAAAUUGGUGAGGGAGAUAGUGGAGUUUCUGGUUUUUGAGGCGGUGGUGGAGAUUUGUUGUGAUUUGAGUGGUUGGGAGAUUGGUGGUGGUGGUGAUUCUUGUAAAGAAGAAGGGUAACAAAUGAUGGUGGUUUGUUACUACUUUCCCUACUGUUGGCUACGGUGAUCACUAUUUUAAUUUUGAAUGAAUUACAGUAUUAUUUUGAAUUUACAGUUCCAAUUCACAAAUUAUCAUCGUUUUUAGUGGAUCUGAAUUCAUUUUUAGGUAUUCAAUUUUCUAAAGUUGAAAAUUAAGCUGAUUUGUUACAUUUCUGUGAAUGGGGACAAUUUGCAAGCCAAAUUGAAUUCAAUUUAUUCAUUUUUGUUUGUGAAUUAGGGCUUUAUAUAUAUGGUAGAAAUGAUUUCCCAUAUGAACCAAUUGGUCUUUACAAGCAUGCCUUUGUACAUACCGGGAGGAUAGUGCGAAAAGCUUAUCUGAAGUCUUGAAAUGAAUGAGCAAGUAUCAUGACUUGGAUCGUCACACAUGACUACCCGCCACCUGACUUGCGCGUGAUUGGUCAGAUAACUAGGUCUUGAACACAAGACCCACUCAGCAACCUGUUGCAUAUUUUCCACGAAAAUACUUGAGACAUCAUGUCACAAACUGGGGGAUUCUCACUGGGGUAUUGGUCGGGCGGUUUACAACAUGCGACGUGCAAUGUGCCCAUUACGAGAAAGUGUCAGGAGAGGGUGCACGGUUAAUAAGUAUUAAGAGAGUAGUAGGUGUAAGGCUGACCAGUAUUCCCUCAUGAUGGAAACGUGAUGGUCAUCACUUUUUACACGACUCCACUUCUCCACUACUUAACUGUCUCCACUUCCUACGAGAUCAGGGGUGCUCAAUCAUGACUUGUAUAAAUAGGUUUUCGACCUAUUUCGACAAAGAACAAGUGUUAUCAACACAAGUAGUCAGAAACCACAUUCUGAUACAAGUCAUAAAAUAGCCACACCAUCAGAGUUAAUGAUUCUGAUCUCAAUACCUUCUUCGCUUCCCUCCCUAAGAUCAACCCUUCUCCUUCACUUUGUGACCGAAACAAGACUGG
Molecule: long non-coding RNA, 1377 nt
Organism: Papaver somniferum (opium poppy)
Lineage: Eukaryota; Viridiplantae; Streptophyta; Magnoliopsida; Ranunculales; Papaveraceae
Exons: 4
Source: RefSeq, a predicted model, not a curated record